UGCAGGACAUUUACUGCAAUUGCUUCCUUUAGCGGAAACCACGUGAUUAGGGUCCCACACAUGCUUCCUUUGGCAGCUGGCAUGGUUUCUACUCGCUAAUGUCUGUUUAUUUUUCUCAAUAAUUAUCCUUUUUCCAUUUUUAAAAUGUCAGGCAAACGGGAACUAAAAAUUAACACAAAGUUUGCUCAGAAAUAUGACAAAUACCGACAGAAAGAAGAGCUGCAGAAACUUAAGGCCCGAUUUUGGGACAGAAACAACGGGAGAGACUCGGACUCUUCGGGGUCCAGCUCAGACGACAGUGAAGUGGAGCUGGAUCCCACCGUCGAGAGGGACUUCUACAGGAUCCUGUCGCUGCUGAAGAAAAAAGACCCGAAGAUCUACGAGAAAGACGCCAAGUUCUACUCUGAAAGUGACACUUCUCACAGCGAUGAGAAGCCUUCAACCUCGAAGAAAGCUGCAGUGAAACCCAUGUUCCUCAAGGACUAUGAGCGGGCAGUCAUCCUGGAGAAGGAGGGUCAAACUAGUGCGAGUAACGUCUACGGCUUACCUACUCUCUGAAGUUCUCAUGGGGGACUGAGGAGAAUGCCGCGAAAGAACAGGAAGGGCUGACCCUGAGACAAAAACUUGUUUGGGGGCCAUGCACGCCAAGAGUCAACACCCACAACCGUGGCCUGGGCACAUAGUGGUGCAGAGCCCUCCAGUCACCAGGCUGGAGCUGUCAAUGGGACAGCAACUGUGAUGCUCUGCAUCCUUCCAGUGCAACAACAGCAUCUGCAUCCCUCGCCAGUCUGCCUGCGACGGUUACAACGACUGCCUUGAUGGCUCAGACGAGUGGCCCCAGAGCUGCCACGCCG
Non-coding RNA from Oryzias latipes (Japanese medaka), 854 nucleotides. The record is from RefSeq and is a predicted model, not a curated record. Lineage: Eukaryota; Metazoa; Chordata; Actinopteri; Beloniformes; Adrianichthyidae.